This 111-nucleotide small nuclear RNA is filed under the name Mus spicilegus (steppe mouse). The record is from RNAcentral. Lineage: Eukaryota; Metazoa; Chordata; Mammalia; Rodentia; Muridae.
GUGCUUGCUUGCUUCAGCAGGACAUAUACUAAAAUUGGAAUGCUACCGAGAAGAUUAACAAGGCCCCUGCCCAAGGAUGACACGAAAAUUCGUGAAGCGUUCCAUAUUUUU